This 465-nucleotide ribosomal RNA is filed under the name uncultured bacterium. RNAcentral describes it as "partial 16S ribosomal RNA". It matches the Rfam family "Bacterial small subunit ribosomal RNA", at positions 28 to 507 of the family's 1533-position model. The record is from RNAcentral.
GAUGAACGCUGGCGGCGUGCUUAACACAUGCAAGUCGAACGGAAAGGCUCCUGCUUGCAGGGGUACUCGAGUGGCGAACGGGUGAGUAACACGUGGGUGAUCUGCCCUGCACUUCGGGAUAAGCCUGGGAAACUGGGUCUAAUACCGGAUAGGACGAUGGUUUGGAUGCCAUUGUGGAAAGUUUUUCGGUGUGGGAUGAGCUCGCGGCCUAUCAGCUUGUUGGUGGGGUGAUGGCCUACCAAGGCGUCGACGGGUAGCCGGCCUGAGAGGGUGUACGGCCACAUUGGGACUGAGAUACGGCCCAGACUCCUACGGGAGGCAGCAGUGGGGAAUAUUGCACAAUGGGCGCAAGCCUGAUGCAGCGACGCCGCGUGGGGGAUGACGGCCUUCGGGUUGUAAACUCCUUUCGUCAGGGACGAAGCGAAAGUGACGGUACCUGGAUAAGAAGCACCGGCUAACUACGUG